UACGUAGGUGGCAAGCGUUUGUCCGGAUUUAUUGGGUUUAAAGGGUGCGUAGGCGGUUCUAUAAGUCAGUGGUGAAAUCCGGCAGCUCAACUGUCGAUGUGCCAUUGAUACUGCAGAACUUGAGUACAGACGAGGUAGGCGGAAUUGACGGUGUAGCGGUGAAAUGCUUAGAUAUCGUCAAGAACACCGAUAGCGAAGGCAGCUUACUAGACUGUAACUGACGCUGAUGCACGAAAAGUGUGGGGAUCAAACAGG
RNAcentral lists this ribosomal RNA (255 nucleotides) under uncultured bacterium. Its description in RNAcentral is "partial 16S ribosomal RNA". It matches the Rfam family "Bacterial small subunit ribosomal RNA", at positions 524 to 776 of the family's 1533-position model. The record is from RNAcentral.